This 492-nucleotide ribosomal RNA is filed under the name uncultured bacterium. RNAcentral's name for it is "partial 16S ribosomal RNA". It matches the Rfam family "Bacterial small subunit ribosomal RNA", at positions 29 to 507 of the family's 1533-position model. The record is from RNAcentral.
AGUGAACGCUGGCGGUAGGCCUAACACAUGCAAGUCGAACGGCAGCACAGUAAGAGCUUGCUCUUACGGGUGGCGAGUGGCGGACGGGUGAGGAAUACAUCGGAAUCUACUUUUUCGUGGGGGAUAACGUAGGGAAACUUACGCUAAUACCGCAUACGACCUACGGGUGAAAGCAGGGGAUCUUCGGACCUUGCGCGAUUGAAUGAGCCGAUGUCGGAUUAGCUAGUUGGCGGGGUAAAGGCCCACCAAGGCGACGAUCCGUAGCUGGUCUGAGAGGAUGAUCAGCCACACUGGAACUGAGACACGGUCCAGACUCCUACGGGAGGCAGCAGUGGGGAAUAUUGGACAAUGGGCGCAAGCCUGAUCCAGCCAUACCGCGUGGGUGAAGAAGGCCUUCGGUUUGUAAAGCCCUUUUGUUGGGAAAGAAAAGCAGCAGGUUAAUACCCCGCUGUUCUGACGGUACCCAAAGAAUAAGCACCGGCUAACUUCGUG